UUGCUUCUGCAGCACAUAUACUAAAGUUGGAGCAAUACAGAGAAGAUUAGCAUGGCCCCUGCGCAAGGAUGAUAUGUAAGUUCAUGAAGUGUUGCAUUUUUUC
Pristis pectinata (smalltooth sawfish) is the source of this 103-nucleotide small nuclear RNA. The record is from RefSeq and is a predicted model, not a curated record. Lineage: Eukaryota; Metazoa; Chordata; Chondrichthyes; Rhinopristiformes; Pristidae.